This 253-nucleotide ribosomal RNA is filed under the name uncultured bacterium. Its description in RNAcentral is "partial 16S ribosomal RNA". It matches the Rfam family "Bacterial small subunit ribosomal RNA", at positions 524 to 776 of the family's 1533-position model. The record is from RNAcentral.
GACGAACCGUGCGAACGUUAUUCGGAAUCACUGGGCUUAAAGGGCGCGUAGGCGGGCGACCAAGUCAGGGGUGAAAUCGUUCGGCCCAACCGGACAAGGGCCCCUGAUACUGGUUGUCUCGAGGGAGGUAGGGGUCGAUGGAACUUCCGGUGGAGCGGUGAAAUGCGUAGAUAUCGGAAGGAACGCCGGUGGCGAAAGCGAUCGACUGGACCUCUUCUGACGCUGAGGCGCGAAAGCCAGGGGAGCAAACGGG